Molecule: ribosomal RNA, 902 nt
Filed under: Enterococcus durans
Lineage: Bacteria; Bacillati; Bacillota; Bacilli; Lactobacillales; Enterococcaceae
Description: bacterial SSU rRNA
Rfam family: Bacterial small subunit ribosomal RNA
Source: RNAcentral
AGUCGAACGCUUCUUUUUCCACCGGAGCUUGCUCCACCGGAAAAAGAAGAGUGGCGAACGGGUGAGUAACACGUGGGUAACCUGCCCAUCAGAAGGGGAUAACACUUGGAAACAGGUGCUAAUACCGUAUAACAAUCAAAACCGCAUGGUUUUGAUUUGAAAGGCGCUUUCGGGUGUCGCUGAUGGAUGGACCCGCGGUGCAUUAGCUAGUUGGUGAGGUAACGGCUCACCAAGGCCACGAUGCAUAGCCGACCUGAGAGGGUGAUCGGCCACAUUGGGACUGAGACACGGCCCAAACUCCUACGGGAGGCAGCAGUAGGGAAUCUUCGGCAAUGGACGAAAGUCUGACCGAGCAACGCCGCGUGAGUGAAGAAGGUUUUCGGAUCGUAAAACUCUGUUGUUAGAGAAGAACAAGGAUGAGAGUAACUGUUCAUCCCUUGACGGUAUCUAACCAGAAAGCCACGGCUAACUACGUGCCAGCAGCCGCGGUAAUACGUAGGUGGCAAGCGUUGUCCGGAUUUAUUGGGCGUAAAGCGAGCGCAGGCGGUUUCUUAAGUCUGAUGUGAAAGCCCCCGGCUCAACCGGGGAGGGUCAUUGGAAACUGGGAGACUUGAGUGCAGAAGAGGAGAGUGGAAUUCCAUGUGUAGCGGUGAAAUGCGUAGAUAUAUGGAGGAACACCAGUGGCGAAGGCGGCUCUCUGGUCUGUAACUGACGCUGAGGCUCGAAAGCGUGGGGAGCAAACAGGAUUAGAUACCCUGGUAGUCCACGCCGUAAACGAUGAGUGCUAAGUGUUGGAGGGUUUCCGCCCUUCAGUGCUGCAGCUAACGCAUUAAGCACUCCGCCUGGGGAGUACGACCGCAAGGUUGAAACUCAAAGGAAUUGACGGGGGCCCGCACAAGCGG